Molecule: ribosomal RNA, 253 nt
Filed under: uncultured bacterium
Lineage: Bacteria
Description: partial 16S ribosomal RNA
Rfam family: Bacterial small subunit ribosomal RNA
Source: RNAcentral
UACGUAGGGUGCGAGCGUUGUCCGGAAUUAUUGGGCGUAAAGAGCUUGUAGGCGGUCUGUCGCGUCUGCUGUGAAAAUCCGGGGCUCAACCCCGGACUUGCAGUGGGUACGGGCAGACUAGAGUGUGGUAGGGGAGACUGGAAUUCCUGGUGUAGCGGUGGAAUGCGCAGAUAUCAGGAGGAACACCAAUGGCGAAGGCAGAUCUCUGGGCCGUAACUGACGCUGAGGAGCGAAAGCAUGGGGAGCGAACAGG